RNAcentral lists this transfer RNA (98 nucleotides) under Vibrio vulnificus. Its description in RNAcentral is "tRNA-Asn(att)". Lineage: Bacteria; Pseudomonadati; Pseudomonadota; Gammaproteobacteria; Vibrionales; Vibrionaceae. The record is from RNAcentral.
UGAAAUUAUCGCAGGUUUUCUACGUGAAGCGGGGCUAUUGGCUUUGCUGGGUAGCCUUGUUGGUGCGCUGGCCAGUGGUGCUAUCUCACUGCUUUUAA